This 59-nucleotide transfer RNA is filed under the name Tragelaphus scriptus (bushbuck). RNAcentral's name for it is "tRNA-Ser". The record is from RNAcentral. Lineage: Eukaryota; Metazoa; Chordata; Mammalia; Artiodactyla; Bovidae.
GAAAAAGUACGCAAGAACUGCUAAUUCUACACCCCNUGCCUAACANUACGGCUUUUUCA